RNAcentral lists this non-coding RNA (1648 nucleotides) under Saccharomyces cerevisiae (brewer's yeast). Its description in RNAcentral is "small subunit ribosomal RNA". It matches the Rfam family "Bacterial small subunit ribosomal RNA". The record is from RNAcentral. Lineage: Eukaryota; Fungi; Ascomycota; Saccharomycetes; Saccharomycetales; Saccharomycetaceae. RNAcentral also lists the same sequence under 12 other names.
GUAAAAAUUUUAUAAGAAUAUGAUGUUGGUUCAGAUUAAGCGCUAAAUAAGGACAUGACACAUGCGAAUCAUACGUUUAUUAUUGAUAAGAUAAUAAAUAUGUGGUGUAAACGUGAGUAAUUUUAUUAGGAAUUAAUGAACUAUAGAAUAAGCUAAAUACUUAAUAUAUUAUUAUAUAAAAAUAAUUUAUAUAAUAAAAAGGAUAUAUAUAUAAUAUAUAUUUAUCUAUAGUCAAGCCAAUAAUGGUUUAGGUAGUAGGUUUAUUAAGAGUUAAACCUAGCCAACGAUCCAUAAUCGAUAAUGAAAGUUAGAACGAUCACGUUGACUCUGAAAUAUAGUCAAUAUCUAUAAGAUACAGCAGUGAGGAAUAUUGGACAAUGAUCGAAAGAUUGAUCCAGUUACUUAUUAGGAUGAUAUAUAAAAAUAUUUUAUUUUAUUUAUAAAUAUUAAAUAUUUAUAAUAAUAAUAAUAAUAAUAUAUAUAUAUAAAUUGAUUAAAAAUAAAAUCCAUAAAUAAUUAAAAUAAUGAUAUUAAUUACCAUAUAUAUUUUUAUAUGGAUAUAUAUAUUAAUAAUAAUAUUAAUUUUAUUAUUAUUAAUAAUAUAUUUUAAUAGUCCUGACUAAUAUUUGUGCCAGCAGUCGCGGUAACACAAAGAGGGCGAGCGUUAAUCAUAAUGGUUUAAAGGAUCCGUAGAAUGAAUUAUAUAUUAUAAUUUAGAGUUAAUAAAUAUAAUUAAAGAAUUAUAAUAGUAAAGAUGAAAUAAUAAUAAUAAUUAUAAGACUAAUAUAUGUGAAAAUAUUAAUUAAAUAUUAACUGACAUUGAGGGAUUAAAACUAGAGUAGCGAAACGGAUUCGAUACCCGUGUAGUUCUAGUAGUAAACUAUGAAUACAAUUAUUUAUAAUAUAUAUUAUAUAUAAAUAAUAAAUGAAAAUGAAAGUAUUCCACCUGAAGAGUACGUUAGCAAUAAUGAAACUCAAAACAAUAGACGGUUACAGACUUAAGCAGUGGAGCAUGUUAUUUAAUUCGAUAAUCCACGACUAACCUUACCAUAUUUUGAAUAUUAUAAUAAUUAUUAUAAUUAUUAUAUUACAGGCGUUACAUUGUUGUCUUUAGUUCGUGCUGCAAAGUUUUAGAUUAAGUUCAUAAACGAACAAAACUCCAUAUAUAUAAUUUUAAUUAUAUAUAAUUUUAUAUUAUUUAUUAAUAUAAAGAAAGGAAUUAAGACAAAUCAUAAUGAUCCUUAUAAUAUGGGUAAUAGACGUGCUAUAAUAAAAUGAUAAUAAAAUUAUAUAAAAUAUAUUUAAUUAUAUUUAAUUAAUAAUAUAAAACAUUUUAAUUUUUAAUAUAUUUUUUUAUUAUAUAUUAAUAUGAAUUAUAAUCUGAAAUUCGAUUAUAUGAAAAAAGAAUUGCUAGUAAUACGUAAAUUAGUAUGUUACGGUGAAUAUUCUAACUGUUUCGCACUAAUCACUCAUCACGCGUUGAAACAUAUUAUUAUCUUAUUAUUUAUAUAAUAUUUUUUAAUAAAUAUUAAUAAUUAUUAAUUUAUAUUUAUUUAUAUCAGAAAUAAUAUGAAUUAAUGCGAAGUUGAAAUACAGUUACCGUAGGGGAACCUGCGGUGGGCUUAUAAAUAUCUUAAAUAUUCUUACA